AUAUGUAAAUAUGUGUGUAAGGUUUACAUACUUUGCUAUGUAUUUGUACAUACAUAUGUAUUUAUUCAUACAUAGUAAAUAGUAACUUUGUACGUGUAUCAAAGUUGUUAGUUGUUAUUACUAAAGAUAUUUCCAAACAAUAUUGCACCACUAUUAUCAUCGCCAUACUCAUCAAAUUCAAGUCCAUCAUUAGCGUUUGGCGGAACAAACGCACUGUUAAAUGCAUCUUCCAGUUGCUCCUCUAAACCCAUACUAGUGGCGAUUCCGUAAAUUAGGCGCAUUAAUACGAGUCUAAUAAAGUUUGGUGUGUUUGUAUCUUUGCCUUUGUUAAUAGACAGUUUCUUAGGAUCUUCAAAAACAAGUUGGCUUUCUUUAUUAUUCGAAAUUGUGUUAAGCGACUUUUCUUUAAUUAUAUUUUGACUUAAAGUUGCUAUACACGAAAUUAUAACUGUGACUACAGCAACCCAACUAUGUAUGAAAUUCAUGUUACUACCCUGCACUUCCACAAUUGAGUAUAAGCGCCCAAUCAUCACGAAGUCGACUGCGACGUCAGCAGAGCAGCCAGCGACGCCGGCAGAGCUGAGCGCAACUGCGGCAAAGAGACGCGCUCUCAGUUGGGGUCCGCAAAGAGAACGCACAAAAAGUACUUUUAAGCUCUCCGUCUCUCGCCAUGUCUGAGCUGGAAAAUUGCGGGUGAAGGCAAGGAGGCUCCGCAAUUAAAAUAUAUACCCUUUUGUGCACCCUUGCCUUUUAAAUAAUGCGACUUUUUUUUGAUAAUGUUAAAACAACCAAUUAAAAUUAUAGGUUUGGGUUUUAAAAUAUUUGUAUUUCUUAAAAAAAUUUAUAUGUUCAUAAUAUUAUUUAUUAAUACGUGAAGUUUUAAAAAUACAGUUUUAUAUAACGAUUUGCAUAGUCGGCUAUGUCUAUAAAUACCUUGCUUUUAUGUACGAGGGGACAUGCCAAAAAAUAGAACAACAACGGAUUAGCGGAACCGUUGUUGUUGUUGCUUGUUGUUUUUCUGGAAGGCACGUGCCUUUUUUCAUGUAUUUUACUUGCGUUUACUUAUGUGAAGGAGUUACAAUUACCCGCAAUUAACGUAGUUAAAUAAAAAAAGCCAAUGGUUUAAAAGUGAUACCUAUACGAUUCCCAGAUGCAAUCGCUCUGGUGGAUCCCUCGGAGCCUCCCGAAAAGGCGCUGCAGAAGGCAACGCGGUGCGUGAAGAAUUUGAGCUGCACCAAGAAAAAAGGCAACGCCGGCCCCAGAUGCUGGCGAGGAGGUCCCAACGACUCCGUUAGGACCGGGAACCCCCGAGCCAACAUUUUAAAAUAAAGAUCUAAACAAAUAAAAAAUAUAGAAAUUAAAUACAACUGUAAAUAUAUUUGCUGCUACGCGAUGAAAAGAAAGGGUAUAGGUGCAGUGGCACGCGCCAACAGCGAAGAGAAAAC
Drosophila subpulchrella is the source of this 1445-nucleotide long non-coding RNA. RefSeq lists it as uncharacterized. The record is from RefSeq and is a predicted model, not a curated record. Lineage: Eukaryota; Metazoa; Arthropoda; Insecta; Diptera; Drosophilidae. The transcript has 3 exons.